GACAGAGGGUGCAAACGUUGUUCGGAAUUACUGGGCGUAAAGCGUGUGUAGGCGGUCUCAUAAGUCGGAUGUGAAAGCCCCGGGCUCAACCCGGGAAGUGCACUCGAAACUGCGAGGCUAGAGUAUCGGAGAGGUUGGUGGAAUUCUCGGUGUAGAGGUGAAAUUCGUAGAUAUCGAGAGGAACACCGGUGGCGAAGGCGGCCAACUGGACGAAUACUGACGCUGAGACACGAAAGCGUGGGGAGCAAACAGG
Molecule: ribosomal RNA, 253 nt
Filed under: uncultured bacterium
Lineage: Bacteria
Description: partial 16S ribosomal RNA
Rfam family: Bacterial small subunit ribosomal RNA
Source: RNAcentral